RNAcentral lists this ribosomal RNA (464 nucleotides) under uncultured bacterium. RNAcentral describes it as "bacterial SSU rRNA". It matches the Rfam family "Bacterial small subunit ribosomal RNA", at positions 28 to 507 of the family's 1533-position model. The record is from RNAcentral.
GAUGAACGCUGGCGGCGCGCCUAACACAUGCAAGUCGAACGGGAACACCCGUAGCAAUAUGGGGUUUAGUGGCGGACGGGUGAGUAACGCGUGAGGAACCUGCCUUUCGGAGGGGAAUAACACAUCGAAAGAUGUGCUAAUACCGCAUAAUGUCAUCGGGUGGCAUCGCCUGAUGACCAAAAGAGCAAUCUGCCGAAAGAUGGCCUCGCGUCCGAUUAGAUAGUUGGUGAGGUAACGGCCCACCAAGUCUGCGAUCGGUAGCCGGACUGAGAGGUUGAACGGCCACAUUGGGACUGAGACACGGCCCAGACUCCUACGGGAGGCAGCAGUGGGGGAUAUUAGUCAAUGGAGGAAACUCUGAACUAGCGACGCCGCGUGAGGGAAGAAGGUCUUCGGAUUGUAAACCUCUGUCUUCGGGGACGAUAAUGACGGUACCCGAGGAGGAAGCUCCGGCUAACUACGUG